RNAcentral lists this ribosomal RNA (253 nucleotides) under uncultured bacterium. RNAcentral describes it as "partial 16S ribosomal RNA". It matches the Rfam family "Bacterial small subunit ribosomal RNA", at positions 524 to 776 of the family's 1533-position model. The record is from RNAcentral.
UACAGAGGGUGCGAGCGUUAAUCGGAAUUACUGGGCGUAAAGGGCGCGUAGGCGGUUAGUUAAGUUAGAUGUGAAAUCCCUGGGCUUAACCUAGGAACUGCAUCUGAUACUGGCUAGCUAGAGUGCAGUAGAGGGUAGUGGAAUUUCCGGUGUAGCGGUGAAAUGCGUAGAUAUCGGAAGGAACACCAGUGGCGAAGGCGGCUACCUGGACUGACACUGACGCUGAGGCGCGAGAGCGUGGGGAGCAAACAGG